Molecule: ribosomal RNA, 1486 nt
Filed under: Leuconostoc citreum
Lineage: Bacteria; Bacillati; Bacillota; Bacilli; Lactobacillales; Lactobacillaceae
Description: bacterial SSU rRNA
Rfam family: Bacterial small subunit ribosomal RNA
Source: RNAcentral
CCCCCAACCUAUCCUCUAAUGCUAGUCGACGCGCAGCGAGAGGUGCUUGCACCUUUCAAGCGAGUGGCGAACGGGUGAGUAACACGUGGAUAACCUGCCUCAAGGCUGGGGAUAACAUUUGGAAACAGAUGCUAAUACCGAAUAAAACUUAGUAUCGCAUGAUAUAAAGUUAAAAGGCGCUACGGCGUCACCUAGAGAUGGAUCCGCGGUGCAUUAGUUAGUUGGUGGGGUAAAGGCUUACCAAGACAAUGAUGCAUAGCCGAGUUGAGAGACUGAUCGGCCACAUUGGGACUGAGACACGGCCCAAACUCCUACGGGAGGCUGCAGUAGGGAAUCUUCCACAAUGGGCGCAAGCCUGAUGGAGCAACGCCGCGUGUGUGAUGAAGGCUUUCGGGUCGUAAAGCACUGUUGUAUGGGAAGAAAUGCUAAAAUAGGGAAUGAUUUUAGUUUGACGGUACCAUACCAGAAAGGGACGGCUAAAUACGUGCCAGCAGCCGCGGUAAUACGUAUGUCCCGAGCGUUAUCCGGAUUUAUUGGGCGUAAAGCGAGCGCAGACGGUUGAUUAAGUCUGAUGUGAAAGCCCGGAGCUCAACUCCGGAAUGGCAUUGGAAACUGGUUAACUUGAGUGUUGUAGAGGUAAGUGGAACUCCAUGUGUAGCGGUGGAAUGCGUAGAUAUAUGGAAGAACACCAGUGGCGAAAGCGGCUUACUGGACAACAACUGACGUUGAGGCUCGAAAGUGUGGGUAGCAAACAGGAUUAGAUACCCUGGUAGUCCACACCGUAAACGAUGAAUACUAGGUGUUAGGAGGUUUCCGCCUCUUAGUGCCGAAGCUAACGCAUUAAGUAUUCCGCCUGGGGAGUACGACCGCAAGGUUGAAACUCAAAGGAAUUGACGGGGACCCGCACAAGCGGUGGAGCAUGUGGUUUAAUUCGAAGCAACGCGAAGAACCUUACCAGGUCUUGACAUCCUUUGAAGCUUUUAGAGAUAGAAGUGUUCUCUUCGGAGACAAAGUGACAGGUGGUGCAUGGUCGUCGUCAGCUCGUGUCGUGAGAUGUUGGGUUAAGUCCCGCAACGAGCGCAACCCUUAUUGUUAGUUGCCAGCAUUCAGUUGGGCACUCUAGCGAGACUGCCGGUGACAAACCGGAGGAAGGCGGGGACGACGUCAGAUCAUCAUGCCCCUUAUGACCUGGGCUACACACGUGCUACAAUGGCGUAUACAACGAGUUGCCAACCUGCGAAGGUGAGCUAAUCUCUUAAAGUACGUCUCAGUUCGGACUGCAGUCUGCAACUCGACUGCACGAAGUCGGAAUCGCUAGUAAUCGCGGAUCAGCACGCCGCGGUGAAUACGUUCCCGGGUCUUGUACACACCGCCCGUCACACCAUGGGAGUUUGUAAUGCCCAAAGCCGGUGGCCUAACCUUCGGGAGGGAGCCGUCUAAGGCAGGACUAGAUGACUGGUGUGAAGUCCUAUACGACGUGAGUUGC